GUUCGGUCUUGGAGCUCCGUCUUCGGCAGCGGGCUCGGGGGCCUCGGACUCUGCAUAAGGCCCCGGAAAAGAUGACCGGCCCCGGGCUGGGCGCGGUGGCUCAUGCCUGUAACCCUGGAGCUUUGGGAGGCCUUGGCGGGCGGAUCGCUUGAGUCCAGGAGUUCGAGAUCAGCCUGGGCAACAAAGCGAGACACCACCCCCCACCCCCAGUCGCUACAGAAGAAAAAAAAAAAAAUUAACCGGGCGUGGUGUCUCGCGCCCAGUGGUCCUAGCUCCUCGGGAAGUCAUCAGAGAUGCCAGACCAGAGGAAAUACAGCAAUCAAAGCAGGCAAACCUGUUGCUAAAUGUGUUUUUGAGAGUAAAACUCCUUGGCCAAAUACUUCAAGACGCUGAUGAUUCUCAAAACUGUCAUCAUGAACCAUCUGGAGAAGGCCAGAUGUUUACAUUUCACGGAAAUGUGGUCCUGAAACCUUCAUUCUGAGCGCAGAGCUAACCACCUCCUCCUAUUCUUGGCAACACUAGUAAAUGAUACAUUACCACAGAGCAGGUGAAAUGCAGCAGAGACAUCUACGCUAGAACCUGAGGGUUGCUAUGUUGUAAGAAGCAUGCCCAGGUUUAUACUAGGACGCUCGGCUGGAGCAUUGGUUCACCGCUGUCCACUAUUUUAAAGACAUGCCAGAAAUAACAAUCCUAUUAUCUGAUUUCCAAGUAAGUCAGGAUGUUCCUACUAACAGCCCUUCCUUUUAUGGUAGUGAGAAUAGUCUAGAAACUUAGUGUUUUAUGAUAAUUCAUGUGCCGUGGCUCUCUUCCAGGAGAUUUUAAUCUCCCUCUGGCCUUGUCUUAUUCACCUUUAUGUCCCAGGACAAAAAUGUUGGACUGUUUGUUAUAUGUUAAUAAGUGGGCUGGGCGCGGUGGCUCACGCCUGUAAUCCCAGCACUUUGGGAGGCCGAGGUGGGCAGAUCACAAGGUCAGGAGUUCAAGACCAGCCUGCCCAAUAUGGUGAAACCCCAUCUGUACUAAAAAUACAAAAACAUUAGCCAGGUGUAGUGGCACAUGCCUGUAAUCCCAGCUACUCGGGAGGUUGAGGCAGGAGAAUUGCUUGAAUCCGGGAGAUGGAGGUUACAGUGAGCCAAGAUUGCGACACUGCACUCCAGCCUGGGCAACAGAGCAAGACUUCGUCUUAAAAAAUAAAAUAAAAUAAAAUAAAUGAUUGAUAAACAGUGAAUGAAGGCUGGGCGCAGUGGCUCACACCUGGAAUCCCAACACUUUGGGAAGCCAAGGCAGGCAGAUCACCUGAAGUCAGGAGUUCAAAUCCAGCCUGGCCAACAUGGCGAAACCCCGUCUUUACUAAAAAAUACUAACAAUUAGGCUGGGCACGGUGGCUCACGCCUGUAAUCCUAGCACUUUAGGAGGCCAAGGUGGGCGGAUUGCCUGAGCUCAGGCGUUCAAGACCAGCCUGGGCAACACAGUGAAACCCCGUCUCUACUAAAAUACAAAAAAUUAACCAGGCAUGGCGGUGUGUGCCUGUAAUCCCAGCUACUCAGGAGGCUGAGACAGGAUAAUUGCUUGAACGUGGGAGGCGGAGGUUGCAGUGAGCCAAGAUCACACCACUGUGUCACAAACGUCCGUGUGAAGAGAGUCCACCAAACAGGCUUUGUGUGAGCAACAAGGCUGUUGAUUUCACCUGGGUGCAGGCGGGCUGAGUCCAAAAAAGGAGUCAGCAAAGGGUGGUGGGAUUAUCAUUAAUUCUUACCCUUUUGGGAUAGGCGUACAAAGUACAUUCUCAAGGGCUCGGAGAAUAUUACAAAGUACAUUCACAAGGUUAGGGGGAGAAUAUUACAAAGUACCUUCUUAAGCGGGGGGAGAGGCCGGGCACGGUGGCACACGCCUGUAAUCCCAGCACUUUGGGAGGCCGAGGUGGGUGGAUCACAAGGUCAGGAGAUCGAGAC
Molecule: long non-coding RNA, 1949 nt
Filed under: Homo sapiens (human)
Lineage: Eukaryota; Metazoa; Chordata; Mammalia; Primates; Hominidae
Description: non-protein coding lnc-JPH3-2:3
Source: RNAcentral